GCCGGGGUGGCCGAGUGGCGAGGCAGCGGACUGCAGAUCCGCCUCACGGGGGUUCAAAUCCCUCCCCCGGCU
RNAcentral lists this transfer RNA (72 nucleotides) under Candidatus Bathyarchaeota archaeon. RNAcentral describes it as "tRNA-Cys". It matches the Rfam family "tRNA". From Rfam's summary of the family: Transfer RNA (tRNA) molecules are approximately 80 nucleotides in length. Their secondary structure includes four short double-helical elements and three loops (D, anti-codon, and T loops). RNAcentral also lists the same sequence under 1 other name. Lineage: Archaea; Thermoproteati; Candidatus Bathyarchaeota. The record is from RNAcentral.